UAUCUUUGAUUCAAUUGCAGAGAAUACACAACGUCCAAUCUUUCUUUACUCAUUGGGUUCAUCUGGGCCUGCUCUUUCCUGUAGGCUAACUGGGACAGCACACACAUCUUUUCCUACAAUGCCCUACUGUGUUGCCCAAGCUGGAGUACAGUGGUGUGAUCACAGCUCACUGCAGCCUCAACCUCCAAAGAUCAAGCAAUUCUCCUGCCUCAGCCUCCCAGGCUGUACAGGAGGCAUGCUCUGCUCAGCUUCUGAGGAGGCAACAGAAAAUUGACAAUCAUGGAAGAGUGUGAAGGAAGUAGGCACAUCUGCAAGACCAGAGCAGGAGCAAGAGAGAAAAAGGCUCAUUUCCUAGAGGUUUUUGGUUGCUUAACCAAGGACAAAACCAGCAAGGCAUGACUGUGGCUUUUAUUGGAAAUGAAAUGAAGUGCAGAAGACACUGGCAGGACCUCUUACAAACACCUACCAUUUCAGAGAAGAAGAGCUGGGGAUGAGCAUGGGAUGGAUGGAAAAUAGGAUGACUCUAUUCAAUAUGUUUGAGCCUUAUGCUGAGCAUCAGAAGUUAAUGGAAGCUGCCCCACACAGAUUCUGCCAAUGAGACCCAAGUAUUUGCCUUAGUCUACUUGUGUACUAUAACAACAUGUGCUAAGCUGGGUAGCUUAUAAACAACAGAAAUUUAUUUCUUAUAAUCCUAGAGUCUGGAAUGUCGAGGAUCAGUGAGGCUCUGGUGAAUGCCCACUUCCUUCAUAUAUGGAUGUCUUCUCAUUCUGACCUCACAUGGUAAGGGACCAGCCUGCUCUCCAGGGUCUCUUAUAAGGGAACUGACCUCAAUCAUAACUUUCAAUGGCCUUAGCUCUUACUAUAAUCACCUUAGGGAUUAGGAUUUCAACAUAUGAAUGCUAGGUGGACACAAACAUUCAGACCAUAGCAGUAUUGGAGAACACUAUAGACAGAAUAACACAGCAUAAUUCAGAGUACUGUAAUUUAGUCAUUUAUGAGGCUUUGAGACUGUUAAUUGUCAUGACUCCCUUUGAGAAAAUUUGGCUGUAGGAAUCAAAAGCAUAAAAUACAUUUAUACUUACUGACUUGGCAAUAUAACUUAUCAAAAUUGAUCCUGAUGAAAAAUCUAUGUCAAAAUUAUAUCAAGGAUAUGUAUCAUCAUUUAUCAUAGUACACUGUAAGGCUACAUAAAUAUCUAACAAGAGAAGCCAGGCUAUGCAAAAUGAUACAUCCACACACUAGCAUAUGAAACAGCACUAAAUUUAGCUCUCAAAUAAUUUUUAGAUAUUUUGAAGAAUACCUCAUUUCAUAAUGUCAAAUGAUGCGGGAACCAGAUUUAUCUACAAGUUCAAAGUUGUAUAUAUGGGUGUGAAGAGAAUGAGAGAGAGGGAGAGGUGAGAAAAUACUUUAGAGUAUUAGUGAUCAUUUUUAUGUAGUAAAAGGAACUCAGGGUUUUCGUUAUUUUAAUUCUAAAAUAAAUUAUGUUGCAUUUUCCCCAAACUUCCUUUAUG
Molecule: long non-coding RNA, 1511 nt
Organism: Callithrix jacchus (white-tufted-ear marmoset)
Lineage: Eukaryota; Metazoa; Chordata; Mammalia; Primates; Cebidae
Source: RefSeq, a predicted model, not a curated record